Molecule: long non-coding RNA, 2932 nt
Organism: Bos taurus (domestic cattle)
Lineage: Eukaryota; Metazoa; Chordata; Mammalia; Artiodactyla; Bovidae
Source: Ensembl
CCUGUCAACUCAUUCAUUCAUUCACCAGUGGUUAUUGAUACCAAAUAGGUACCAGAGGAUGUUCUAAAUUUCUGUAAAGGAGUGGGAGGCAAGGAGAGUAUAAAAAGGAAGGCUGGAUCACCUUUGGAGAUUUGUCAGGAUAAAAACACCUGGACCCCACCUCACAACCAGUGAACCAUCACCUUCCUUGUAGCAGCCAUGCCUCCAUCCAAGGAACAAGGGCAGGCAGAAAAGUGAAAGAAAGCUUUCCUAGCAUCUGAUGAAAGGAUGAAAUAUGGAUGGCUGCUAACCCUAAGGAUUUCCCACUAGAGGCAUCAUUUGGUGGCAAGUCUGUUUACUACAUUUGCAAGAAGGGACAGGAAGCAGACAGAGGCAACAGGGCUUCUAAGGAACGGGCGUAUGUUUCCAGACAUCACUCAGCUGAGAGUAUAUUUCCUACCGGAGAUGUUUAUAAAAUGCUUCCCGUCACUGAGGCGCAAAGCACAGGGCUCUGGCAGAGCGUGUGUGGAAUUUUCAAAGGGAAAUUAGGUUCCUGCCAAAUUGGACCAUCAUUUUUUUUUUCCCUGAACAUUUCCCACCUCCUCCCAUUUCCUAGGCUUUGAUCCACCUCUUUCUGCCAUCGGUAGUGCCACCACCUCAUUUCUACUUGUCAGAAGUCCAUAAAUUCACUGAGCCACGGUUUUUAAAAAACCCUGUCAAAAAUACUGGUCUAAGCCUGCUCUGACCCCCACCUUAAUACACUGUCUUCUUCCUUCAAUUUCACCACUGCAUUUGGUACGUACCUUUGUACCUGGGUACACACAGCCUCUAUGUAGAAAUAGCAGUGGUUUCCCAGAAAUGAAUCUAAUGAACUCAUUAGCCACCAGUCACCUAUAGAAAACACUUGAUUUAACCACUUCAGGUUUCCUCCAUCACUAAUUAAAUCGGGACUGAAAUUCAGUCAGGGUUCAUGACCCCUCUCAGGGUUGGUGUAGCUGCAUAAGCGUUCUCCCUUCUCUCUCCCUGCAGCCAGGAAGGAGCUCGGGUGGCCGCGUGGCUGAAGGACAGGGGGACCUCAUGGUGCGGGCAGGCAGGAUUUGAAAUAGCUCAACUGGAAUUCCAUCAACUUCACUAGCUUUGUUUGUAGUGAGGCUUCCUAAGGCCCACUUGACUUCGCAUUCCAGGAUGUCUGGUUCUAGUGAGGAGAUUACAAACAGGCCUGGUAGUUUCAUUCCAACACCAGUGGAGGCUUCCCUUGGCUCCCCUCGCCAUUCAGCUGUGACUCAGAGGAAUCUCCUUGGCUGUGAGAGGGCUUGUGACCUGCACAUCUGCUCGUCAUUUACCUACUGUGGAUCUGCUGGGCUGGUGAAGAACUGGUUCCUGCUUCUUCUGCCUUAUUCUGUGAUAUGUGGAGAGAAAUUGCUCCUGUUAAUUUGACUCCAUCCCUGGCUUUGCUCCUGUCAAAUCGGAUGCAUGGAAAUCCUCCAGAAUGUACCAUUCCCAUGGCUCUCACCAUCUUGUUUGCUCCUCCUUCCUGCGGUCAAUACAUCCCAGGUGCCACCUAUGUACCUGCUAAUUUUUACUCCCAGCUGCAAUGAGUCACUUGAAGUUUUAGUCUAUAAAACAAAUGAAAAAAGAGAAAGUUACUGAUGCAUGGGAUAGAGGAUGUGAUAUUGAUUGCUUUUAGAACAAAGAAAACCUGCUUACAGGUAUCCCAGUAAGAGUGUGAUUGGCAGCUUCUGCAAAUACCCUGCGUCUCCAAAGUCAGAAACACAAUGAAAGAGAGAGAAAAAACCUUAUGUAACCAUAACAGUGCCCAUUAUUAGUCUCUUAAAAUAACCCAGCACUUUACUAAGAUUUUGUGUAUAAUGAUAUCUUAUUAUUAUUUUAAAGGUCUUUUUUGAGGUGGACCAUUUUUAAAGUCCUUAUUGAAUUUGUUGUAAUAUUGUUUUUGUUUUUUAUGUUCUGGUUUUUUGGCCAUGAGGCAUGUGGGAUCCUAGCUCCCCGACCAGGGAUUGAACCCACUCUCCCUGCACUGGAAUGUGAAGUCUUAACCAGUGGACCACCAGUAGUCCUGAUAUAUUAAAGCAACUCUCUGGGAUAGGAGUAACUGUCCUCAAUUUACAGAUUAGGGAAUAUAAGACUUAGGGAAAUUAAAGAUACUAAUAAGUAGCAGAGCUGAAAUUCAUACUCAGGAAAGUCUGACUCCAGUACUACUUAUCCUUCCAACCAGCAUUUUCUUGCUUCUUAUUGGACUUUCCUCUUCUAGAUCAGGUCCAUGCUUGUGCUUUACUCAGUGAGAUUUCUCGGAAUCUGGAAAAUGGUGUUUGAUAUAUUUCAGGCUCUGUGAUAAUUCUGUAUGUUAAUGAUUAAAAUAUAUGAAUCAACUGAACUGCAAGCUGCUUACUAGCUGCCAUCUUUCUCUCUCUACAGCUGACAUUAGAAAAAUAAAGCUAUAAAAACAGGUUUAAAUUUUUAAAUUAAAAUCCACAUUUCUGUACUAUAGAAUACCUCACUGCUAUGCUUUAUUUCAAUAGAUGAAGGUAUUUUGAGUAUUUUCAAUUGAUACGGCAACUUUUACUUGAAAAUUCUACUAUCUCUAGGUCAUUCAUAGAUCAUAAAACCAUUUUGAUAAGCAGGAGAAUUAAUAAACGAUGCUCAUGCAAUUUGAAAUUUAAAAUUUUGAGUUCUCUGAUAUGUUAAAGUCUUUCUCUGUUUGUUAAGAGGGAAUAAAAUCAAACUGUGAUUUUUUCCAAGACAAGAAUGAGGCUUAAAUGUCUUGAGUCCUUUUAAGUGUCUCCUCUUCCAUGUUAUCUCCUAAGUCCAUUACAGUAAUUUUUUUUUUUAAGUCUAUGUGCUUAAAUAUAUCACUUGGACCUCUGGAAGUACAGUAUUGACUUCAGCCAGUAUAACUUUGUAUGUUACUCCUGUGGUUAUCAUCCAUGUAUAGGAC